RNAcentral lists this long non-coding RNA (1158 nucleotides) under Marmota monax (woodchuck). The record is from RNAcentral. Lineage: Eukaryota; Metazoa; Chordata; Mammalia; Rodentia; Sciuridae.
CUCCCCCCCCACACUCCUCUCUCACACCUGUUCAUGUGCCUUUUUUUCCCCUUACAUGUCUGUCCACGGGCUACAGUGACUCCCUUCACACACAUUCAAUGCACACGAUACAUAUGCUCACAUAUGUAUGUAAACGCCUCUGCUUUAUGGCUUUGCACGAAGCUCUUUUUCUCAUAUAUCCAUGCUUCUCAAAUUUUUCUUUCUCCUUGCACCUAUAUUUCUGAUUUUGUGCACCCAACUCUUCUCAUACCUUCUCAUUUCUACCGUACACACAUGUCCACACCUCUCCACCAGAUGCAAACUCAUGCUGUGACGUAUUUGUGUAUCUGGGCACCUCAGAACACAUGCAUAAAGAUCUCCGGUCUCCUUCCUCUCCUGCCUUCACCGGCAGCUCCUUCUCAUUGUGGCAUUCACCACAGCGGCCGGAAGUGCACAGGGAGGCUUCUAAAGCUGUCAUCCAGUUCCACACUGCUGUGUUUAAUGGGGCCGUUGUGCCACGGUGAAGCAAGGAAUUGGACGAAGUCUUUAGAACCCCAUUUGUGUGCUUUGGGCAGUUUGAAAUCCUAUUAUUUUCCUGCCAUUUUUUUCCAUGUAAAAGCAGGCUUCUAAAUGGGUUGAAAAUACUUAAAGUUUAUUCUCUCAGAAUAAAAUAUCUAGAAACUACAUAUAACCCAGUUGAUGUUAACUAGCACUUCCUUUGAGGCAAAUGUGUCUCUCAACAUAGAGAAAUGCUUAAACCUGGUUCUAUUAAAUUGGACUAAAAUGUGAAUGGGUAGAUGUAUUAGUUUGCUAGGGAUGCUAUCAAAAAGUACCACAAGCUCCGGUGGUUUAAACAACAGAACUGUGUUGUCUCACACUCUGGAGGACAGACAGAAAGAAGCCCCAAAUCAAUGUGUGAUCAGGUUUGGUUUCUUCGAAUGGCAGUGAAAAUCCGUUCUGAGCUCUCUAGCUGCCUUGUAGGCGACUGUCUUCCUGUCUUCUGUUGUCUUCCCUCUAAGCACACCAUUCUCCAAAUUUCCUUUUCUAUAAGGACCCCAGACACAUUGGAUGAGGCCCAGCCUAAUGGUCUAUUUUUAAUUUGAUUAUACUUGUACGUACCCUGUCUCCAAAUAAAAUCACAUUCUAAGGCACUGGUUAGGAGUUGUGGGAAAGUGUAAC